RNAcentral lists this long non-coding RNA (309 nucleotides) under Mytilus galloprovincialis (Mediterranean mussel). Lineage: Eukaryota; Metazoa; Mollusca; Bivalvia; Mytilida; Mytilidae. The record is from RNAcentral.
GUUAUAUAUAUACAUAUUCAUGGAUCUACAAUCUGUCGAUACCUGUAUCUUGGCAUUGCACAAGGUCAUGUUUUUCUCUAGCUGUUUAUGAUGUGUUUACACUAAAUCCAUUGGAUGUUGGAUGUGUACGGAUUGAUAUUUUAGUCUUAGAUGCAUGAUUUUUUUUAUUAGUUGUUAGUGGCUUUGAACUAGCUGUCAGAUAACUGCGAGUACUCUCAGAUUUGUUCAUUGUGUCUUUUUGUGUCGGGAUGUAUAAGUACCCGGCCACGUCCACUUAUAUUUUUGUCCAUCUGAUGAGUUAAGCCAUUU